UUGUUUGUUGGGUUCUGAGCUUGC
Molecule: non-coding RNA, 24 nt
Filed under: Mus musculus (house mouse)
Lineage: Eukaryota; Metazoa; Chordata; Mammalia; Rodentia; Muridae
Source: RNAcentral